GGCUUAGAAGCAGCCACUCAUUUAAAGAGUGCGUAAUAGCUCACUAGUCAAGAGAUCCUGCGCCGAAGAUGUCCGGGGCUCAAACUUACCACCGAAGCUAUGGGUGUACACUACGUGUACGCGGUAGGGGAGCUUUCUGUAUGGGUUGAAGUCGUACCGUAAGGAGCGGUGGACUGUACAGAAGUGAGAAUGCUGGCAUAAGUAGCGAGAAAUAAGUGAGAAUCUUAUUGGCCGAAAACCUAAGGUUUCCUGAGG
This 255-nucleotide ribosomal RNA is filed under the name Clostridium botulinum. RNAcentral describes it as "partial 23S ribosomal RNA". It matches the Rfam family "Bacterial large subunit ribosomal RNA", at positions 1103 to 1360 of the family's 2925-position model. The record is from RNAcentral. Lineage: Bacteria; Bacillati; Bacillota; Clostridia; Eubacteriales; Clostridiaceae.